This 225-nucleotide ribosomal RNA is filed under the name uncultured Staphylococcus sp. RNAcentral describes it as "partial 16S ribosomal RNA". It matches the Rfam family "Bacterial small subunit ribosomal RNA", at positions 135 to 355 of the family's 1533-position model. Lineage: Bacteria; Bacillati; Bacillota; Bacilli; Caryophanales; Staphylococcaceae. The record is from RNAcentral.
UAACCGUACCCGGGGGAAACCGGGGACUAAUACCGGAUAACACAUUAAACCGCAUGGUUUCAUGAUGAAAGACGGUUUUGCUGUCACUUAUAGAUGGACCCGCGGCGUAUUAGCUAGUUGGUAAGGUAACGGCUUACCAAGGCAACGAUACGUAGCCGACCUGAGAGGGUGAUCGGCCACACUGGAACUGAGACACGGUCCAGACUCCUACGGGAGGCAGCAGCA